Molecule: long non-coding RNA, 439 nt
Filed under: Mustela putorius furo (domestic ferret)
Lineage: Eukaryota; Metazoa; Chordata; Mammalia; Carnivora; Mustelidae
Description: lncRNA (ENSMPUG00000032070.1)
Source: RNAcentral
AUGGAGUUGAAGAGUAGAUCGUCUCAUGGAUAUUUAGUUGGCACUUGUUUUAUGGUUGAAAGAAAUCACAAUGGAAGAUAUAAAUUAACCCAUAGUGAAUGUGAUCAACACCCUGGCCUUUCCGAAAGAGAAGGUACAAACACACACUUUCUCUUAAAAAACAAAAACAAAAAACAAAACUCCCUCCAUACCACCCCAUCCAGAGCUAAAAAGAGUAGAAGCAUUCGAAAAAUACAUUGCUUCCAUUUAACAAGCAAAUAUGAGAAAUAUAUCAGAACCCUUGUGAUGAUGAUUAGUGAAGACUGUUAGCCAUCUCCUUCUGUCUGUGAUCAGGAAUGACAGCAACAUAUCAUGAGUUAAGUGAUGAGCACAGUUAUCAGUACUGUGAAUAUGUGAAAAGCACUUAUCUAGCACUUACUACAUGUUAGGCACUGUUCCA